AACUCUUAGCGGUGGAUCACUCGGCUCGUACGUCGAUGAAGAACGCAGCUAGCUGCGAGAACUAAUGUGAAUUGCAGGACACAUUGAUCAUCGACACUUCAAACGCUCCUUGUGGCCCCGGGUUCCUCCCGGGGCUGUGCCUGUCUGAGGGUCG
Molecule: ribosomal RNA, 154 nt
Filed under: Monopterus albus (swamp eel)
Lineage: Eukaryota; Metazoa; Chordata; Actinopteri; Synbranchiformes; Synbranchidae
Description: 5.8S ribosomal RNA (ENSMALG00000007321.1)
Rfam family: 5.8S ribosomal RNA
About the family: 5.8S ribosomal RNA (5.8S rRNA) is a component of the large subunit of the eukaryotic ribosome. It is transcribed by RNA polymerase I as part of the 45S precursor that also contains 18S and 28S rRNA. Functionally, it is thought that 5.8S rRNA may be involved in ribosome translocation.
Source: RNAcentral